GAUGAACGCUGGCGGCGUGCCUAAUACAUGCAAGUCGAGCGAACGGACGAGAAGCUUGCUUCUCUGAUGUUAGCGGCGGACGGGUGAGUAACACGUGGAUAACCUACCUAUAAGACUGGGAUAACUUCGGGAAACCGGAGCUAAUACCGGAUAAUAUUUUGAACCGCAUGGUUCAAAAGUGAAAGACGGUCUUGCUGUCACUUAUAGAUGGAUCCGCGCUGCAUUAGCUAGUUGGUAAGGUAACGGCUUACCAAGGCAACGAUGCAUAGCCGACCUGAGAGGGUGAUCGGGCACACUGGAAGUGAGACACGGUCCAGACGCCUACGGGAGGCAGCAGUAGGGAAUCGUCCGCAAUGGGCGAAAGCCUGACGGAGCAACGCCGCGUGAGUGAUGAAGGUCUUCGGAUCGUAAAACUCUGUUAUUAGGGAAGAACAUAUGUGUAAGUAACUGUGCACAUCUUGACGGUACCUAAUCAGAAAGCCACGGCUAACUACGUG
Molecule: ribosomal RNA, 497 nt
Filed under: uncultured bacterium
Lineage: Bacteria
Description: partial 16S ribosomal RNA
Rfam family: Bacterial small subunit ribosomal RNA
Source: RNAcentral